Molecule: long non-coding RNA, 332 nt
Filed under: Gallus gallus (chicken)
Lineage: Eukaryota; Metazoa; Chordata; Aves; Galliformes; Phasianidae
Source: RNAcentral
CACAGCCUUUUCAAUUCCACUCGGCUCAGCGUCCGCUGGCUUUUCAGUAAGUUCUGGAGACCUAUGAGGCCCUCCUUCCUUUCAGACCAGUUGGAGCUGGCACAGUGGUUCAGGACCUCAGCCACAUCUUCGGUCUGCCGCAGAUAGUGUGGAAUGCCUCCAUUCCUGGAACCAUAGGAGCGCUCUGAGCAAGCACUUGAUGCGUCACUGUUAGCGUCAUCAUCAGAGUACAUCCCAUAGGGUUCAUAUCUUCUUCUCACUGGCUUUUUCAGUGCAUCAGCCACAGCGGCCUCCAGAUCUGUGCUUGUGCUCAGGACUCGCAUGGCAUUCAC